This 451-nucleotide ribosomal RNA is filed under the name uncultured bacterium. RNAcentral's name for it is "partial 16S ribosomal RNA". It matches the Rfam family "Bacterial small subunit ribosomal RNA", at positions 29 to 523 of the family's 1533-position model. The record is from RNAcentral.
AACGAGCGCUGGUGGCAGGCCUAAUACAUGCAAGUCGAACGCCUGUAGCAAUACAGGAGUGGCGCACGGGUGAAUAACACGUGGGAAUAUGCCUUUUGGUACGGGACAACGUCUGGAAACGGACGCUAAUACCGUAUGGUCACUUCGGGGUAAAGAUUUAUCGCCAAAAGAUUAGCCCGCGUCUGAUUAGCUAGUUGGUGAGGUAACGGCUCACCAAGGCGACGAUCAGUAGCUGGUCUGAGAGGACGAUCAGCCACACUGGGACUGAGACACGACGCAGACUCCUACGGGAGGCAGCAGUAAGGAAUAUUGGACAAUGGGCGCAAGCCUGAUCCAGCCAUGCCGCGUGAGUGAUGAAGGCCUUCGGGUUGUAAAGCUCUUUAGUCCGCGAAUAAAAUGACUGUAGCGGAAGAAUAAGCCCCGGAUAACUUCGUGCCAGCCGCCGCGGUAA